UGGGGAAUUUUACGCAAUGGGGGAAACCCUGACGUAGCGACACCGCGUGAACGAAGAAGCCCCUUGGGGUGUAAAGUUCUGUCGGCUGGAACGAAAAAAAUGACGGUACCAGCAAAGGAAGCAUCGGCUAACUACGUGCCAGCAGCCGCGGUAAGACGUAGGAUGCAAGCGUUGUCCGGAUUUAUUGGGCGUAAAGAGUUCGUAGGUGGUUUGUUAAGUUUGAUGUUAAGGAUCAAGGCUCAACCUUGGGAAAGCAUUGAAUACUGGCAGACUUGAGUAUGGUAGAGGCAAGCGGAAUUCCCAGUGUAGCGGUGAAAUGCGUAGAUAUUGGGAAGAACACCGGUGGCGCAAGCGGCUUGCUGGGCCAUAACUGACACUGAGGAACGAAAGCUAGGGUAGCGAAUGGG
RNAcentral lists this ribosomal RNA (407 nucleotides) under uncultured bacterium. Its description in RNAcentral is "bacterial SSU rRNA". It matches the Rfam family "Bacterial small subunit ribosomal RNA", at positions 355 to 776 of the family's 1533-position model. The record is from RNAcentral.